Molecule: ribosomal RNA, 498 nt
Filed under: uncultured bacterium
Lineage: Bacteria
Description: partial 16S ribosomal RNA
Rfam family: Bacterial small subunit ribosomal RNA
Source: RNAcentral
AUUGAACGCUGGCGGCAUGCUUUACACAUGCAAGUCGAACGGUAACAGGCCGCAAGGUGCUGACGAGUGGCGAACGGGUGAGUAAUGCAUCGGAACGUGCCCAGUCGUGGGGGAUAACGCAGCGAAAGCUGCGCUAAUACCGCAUACGAUCUAUGGAUGAAAGCGGGGGACCGUAAGGCCUCGCGCGAUUGGAGCGGCCGAUGUCAGAUUAGGUAGUUGGUGGGGUAAAGGCUCACCAAGCCAACGAUCUGUAGCUGGUCUGAGAGGACGACCAGCCACACUGGGACUGAGCCACGGGCCAGACUCCUACGGGAGGCAGCAGUGGGGAAUUUUGGACAAUGGGCGCAAGCCUGAUCCAGCAAUGCCGCGUGCAGGAAGAAGGCCUUCGGGUUGUAAACUGCUUUUGUACGGAACGAAACGGUCCUGGUUAAUACCUGGGGCUAAUGACGGUACCGUAAGAAUAAGCACCGGCUAACUACGUGCCAGCAGCCGCGGUAA